GGGGGGGAGAUCAGGUUUUCGGUUUUGUUAAAAUUGGUUAGGGAUUUACUUGUAAUGCAAAUUUCAUAAGUGGCAUCAUAAAGUGCUCCUAGCACUAUUGGUAGAGAAUCCUAGAAUCUUAUAAGAGUUGGCUAACCAAAUGGGUAGCUAAAAAAAAAAUAGAAAAAAUAAAUAAGAGUUGUCUAACCCCCUUUACGCUAGAUGUUCAGAUGAAAACUGACAUCAAGUUUUGUGAGAAAAUUUCUACAAAUAAGCAGAUUCGAGCUGAAGUUAAAAUGUUAUAUAAAUUUAUCUUUUUAUUUAGCUUAGUUGUUCUUCCAUUAUGAUUUGGGUACUUUAUAUGACUUUUUAUAUCUUUGUUUGUCUUUAUCAAAAUUUCAGAGUACAAAAGUUGAAGACUACGGUAGUUUUGGUUUGAAGAUUGCAUUGAAAGUUGGAGGUAAUUCGGUUUUUGAUUGAGUUUAAAAACUUGUUCUUUUCAUCUGAGGUUUUCAGAAGUUGACAUUUGCAUUUUAAAUUUAAUUAUGAAUAAGUUUGUUUUCAAGUUUACACGAUAUUGUGUUUUUUAAUAAAUGUAUCAUUCUUUAAAGGUUGUCAUAAUCACCAACUAGAUUCCAACCCGCGCUGAAGCGCGGAAAUUGAUUCAUCUAAUUUUAAUUUUAAUUUUUUGUAUAUAAUAUGUGUAUAUAAGUUUUAUAAAUAUUUUUGUGUAAUAUUUUUAUAUAUAUAUAUAUUUGACAUCUAUAUCUAAUUUUUAGUGGUGUUAUAAUUUGUGUUGUACAUGUUGUUAGUUUGUAUAGAAUCUUGUUUCAUUUUCAGUAUAAUAGUUUAACUUGGAUCACUUUAAACUUACAUUUGUUAAAUUUAAAAUAUUUGAUUUUUUUUUAAAAAAAUUAUUAUAUAAUUUCAACAACUUUAUUAGUUAUGCUUAUAACUAAUCAUAAUUAGUUUGUUAAAAAUAUUAAACACAUUUGGCCCAUAAAAUUUUAAUGGAUGUAUUUAAGAUCAAAAGUUUGGGCUAUUUAAUAGUUUAUGGAUCAGGCCUUCUAACAAAUUUAAUUUAACAAAUGAUAUUAUCUAAACCCAAAUGAGUAACAAACUUUUGUCCGGGAAAAAAAGAAAAUAAUCUGUAAAGUCAAAAACUUUUGAUGAUCAAUUAAUAUUUUGUUUCUGUCGGUGUGAAUAAUAGAUGCACCAUUCAAGUUCAUCGUUUCUCUCUCUCUUCUUCGUUGGAACCGAAACGAUCAGUUUACCGAAACAAUAAAAAAAAAUCAAUUGAUCUUCUACAAAGACUUUGUUUCUCAAGACAUGCAUGAUCUUUGCUAUUUGAUCGGAGGAAAAUAAUUUGAGAGAUCGAGUCAAGGAAACAGAUACUAUCCAGGUUGAAAGUAGCGGAUGCAAAAUCAGUGGCCGAUUUGAAACGAAAUACGUGGUUCGUCAAGUCAAUCGAGAAACAGAAAAGAUAAGUUUCAUAAUUUCUUUGAGUGUUUGUUUAUUCAUAAUAUCUAAUCUAAUAAAUCGAGCUUGUUACAAACAUUGGCAGAUUGAAAUAUAUUGGAUACAAAAAGCUAAGCUCAGCUGCGUUGAGAUAACACACACACUGCACGUAUCUGAAGGCUUUAUUCCAGACUCUAUUGGACUUUAAAUUGAGUAAAAGAACACCAAAGAGAUGGUAAAUCUAUCAAUGCGAUGCAUUAGUAGAAGUGGUCAAAUAUACCAGAUAAAACUGAUCAAGUUUAAGAAAAGAUAAGUCUCUUAUAUAUGUUUACUACAAUUAUCUCUGUUUUCUCAGUGGACUCUGUUUAUGAUACAAUUUAGUUCUUCUUUAUUAUCUUGUUCUUCUUUAUACUCUCUCUUAUUGUUGCUUUUUAAUUGUUGUUGGCACAAUAAUCUAACAGAUCAAACUCAUGUUUCGUUAUAUUAAUUAGAUCAUUGAUAAAGAUGGAAAAGAAGAGCAAUCAAAAAGACAGCAUGGGGACAGUUACUUACAACCAAUUUCGCAGCACAAAGGAUUAUUCAAGACAGUUCAUAGAAGAGCUACAACUUCACUACAACGUAUUUAAAAUAAGUAAUUCAGUUUAUACUUUCCAUGGUUGUAGGUGAAAUAUUUAUUAUACAUGAAAUUGUUAAAGAAUAAAUUUUUACUGAUUUUAUAAAGUACAUCAAUUAAUAAUCGUAGGUCACAAUGUUAUAAAAAAUAAUAGGAUAAAUAUAUCAUAAACCUGAAGAAAAAUUAAAUGAAACUCAACUUUAUUGAAACUCAAAUUAUUGAAAAAAAAACCAAACAAAUACGACAACUUGCAAAUAAACCAAAGUCUUAAAUAAUGAAGCAAAAAAAAAACGAAAUAGAGAAUGAGUAAAACUUUCAAAGUCCACUCUGAAAACUAAACGCAGCCUUUAACUACUCCCCAUCAUUCUUUUCCAGCUUGAUGUUCUUAAAGCGCUGUUUCUUUGAAGUAGAAGAAAGGUCUUCAAUUUGACUGUCCCUUGAACUUUCUGAACGUUUGGAGACUGGAGUUGAAGAUGCACCUUUGGUGUCUUCACUUUCAAUGCUUAACAAAGAAACCUUAAAAUAUAGGCAAAAAAUAUUAUUAAACCCAUAACAUGUUAAAUCCGUUUCACACAAAUCUAAUUUAUGGGAUACGUUUUACAAACCUUUCCAGAAGAAUGAUCAGAUAGUAGAGUGUUGUCAUCUUCACACAUGGAUAUUAUUUCAUUAGCAGACCAAGUUCCACCAAUGGUAAAUAUAUCAGCUUCAUAGUCAACAUUGUCUUUAGCAACAUACACACCAAACUUAAAAGUUUUCCCAAUAAGAGCAGUAAUAACAUCUGGCAAGUCUUCAGGAUCCUCAACCUAAAUAGCAUAAAUAGAGAACUCUAGAUUAAUAAACGACAAAUCAAAAAAGAACCCAUCAAAUAAAAAAUUCAGUUUGAGGCUUGUAUAUACCUCUUCCAGAGAACCAUCUAAGAGCACUUCAGCACUUACUCCAACAAUUGGUUCAGCAAUAGUAUCAAGCAACAUAACCUUAUUUUCACCGGUUUCAUCCUUUAUAAGUAGAUGUAAUUUGAACCUAAUAAGAUGUAUAAAAGUUAGGACAUUCAAAAAUAGGGUCAUAAACAAUUUAAGAUCAAGAUAUAAGAAACUUACUGAGGUGCAACUUUUUUCACAGAUUGUUUGCAUGAAUCACAACGCAGACAUGCUUCAGAGGCACCACAUCCUUCUUUGUUAUGUUGGUAACCUUUCUGUUGUUGCACUUAACACAACCAAAAUAAUACCAUGCCCAGUCUGUGUCUAUUGCAUAAACAGUUGCUUUAACAAUACAUUUCUCAAUCUACAAAAAAAGAUUAAUGUUAGUAAUCUUGUAGAUCAUUACAAUGGUUAAAAUCAUCAUGAUAAAACUAACCUCAGUUGACACUAGGAUAUCCAAUAUUGAUCUAUCUGGUUAAAGAGACCACUUGUGAUUGCAAGUUCAUUAUUUGGGACCCUAUUAUAAAUAGAGUGAUUAAUAACUUUUAAAAUAAUUUAAACUAUGUAAAAAAUAUAAAACAACAUACAAUGCUUGUGCUGGAUAAUCUUCCACAUCAAAUCCGGUUGGAUUGAUGACCAUACUGGAAAUUUUAAAUGCGUUUGUUAUCUGCACUUGCCCUAAAAAUGUAAAAUAAUAUUUUAGCUCAUAAAAAAACCAAUAAUUAUAAUAACAAAUAAAAAUCGUUGGUUAGAAACUUACCCUUGUAAACAUUGAUUUUAGAAAAUCUCAAUAAUCAGAUGUCAACAAAUCUUAAGAAGUUUAUCAACUUACUUUGUAUCGGUCAAUGUAAGUCCCAUCAUUUUUUUUUCUUUCCCACCUACUUGGACAACUUGAAGAUCGCCAAUAUCAAUGGCACGGCCAAUAACAUCUAAAACAAUAAAACAAAAGAGUAAUUAAUAUAAAUCAAAGCUGAUAAAUAUACAAGGAAAACACUAACUGUAUUUACCAACUAAAAAUUUUGAAUCAAGACUUCCAUUCAUGAUUGCUUGUAAAGGAGUUAACGUCAAGAAAUCAUCCUCGAUUUUCAGUUCGGAGUUGGUGACAUUGGUACUGCCUGUGAUGGUCAUCUUGUAUUUGUGGUUUGUUGGACGGUACUUUCCGGUAGCUGGAAUUACUGAAAAAUUCUCAAUAAACUUCCAUUGACCAACCUGGAGUUUCUUUACACGAGGAAAGAAGUUCCUCUUGCAGGUACAAUGUAUCUUAACACCCUAUACAUUAGAAAAAAUAAAAUUCGGUUUAGACGUUUUACAAUAAAAUAUUUAGCAUAACAAAACGGUGUAAACAUUUAUACACUUACGGUCUUAUCUGCAAGAAUGAAAUCAAAGGAGUCUCCACCAGAAUAAGUUGAGUGUUGAGUCCAUGAGUGAAGAACUUUGAUUUCAACUUUCCAAAUAUCUUUGAAUGGCUUGACAUCGUUCAACUGUCGGACUACGUUGUGCGUAACUAUAGCCAUGAGUCUUUUACUUAAUGAUGUUGAGGUGAAGAAAGUAUUAGGAUAUGAAUGCAUAUUUAUAGUGAUUAGAUAGUAACGUGUAGGUAUAAUGAAUAUAUUUAGGCAUAUUCUGAUUUCAGUAGUUUGUUGAAUUAGUUAUAUGUAGUUAAGAUAUUAGAUAAGAACAUAGUUGUGAAGGUGAUUGAUAGGGAGAUCGAAAUAUAAGGAAAUUUGUUUGAGUUUUUUGAAAAAAAAAUUAUGGAAGAUACAAUUAAUGUAUUUGAUCAAAUCUAUUCUUAAUGUGGUUAGAAUAUUCUGGAUAACGAUUGUAUGUAGAUAAUCAUUAGAUAUUAAACAAAUUGAAAUUACAAAAUAUCUAAUCUAUAUAUUUUUAUAUAAAGGAACAUAUAUUGUAUACGGGUAUGAAUUGUAUCUUCGGCUAUAAUAAACAAAUAAACAAAACAUAUGUAACGUAAACAAAAGUCAUGAUCUAAUCUAUAUAUGAUUGAGGCUUAUAUGCAGAUAAUUUUGUGUUCAUAAUCAGAUUUUUUAUUUGUUAGAAUGGUUAGUAUGAUGAAAGAUGGACAAAAUAGAAAAUAAUUUGAUCUGAAGAGAAGGAAAGACGGACAUCUACACUAAACAUGAUAACCUGUUGGUUUAGUUUUAUUGUAUUGCUUUAUUAAGAGCAGAUAACCUGUCGUUGUGGUUUUUGUUUAAUUUUGGAUGGUUUUAAUAUAUUAGAUAUUGGUUUAGUUUAAGUAAUCCGGUUGUAUGUAUUGGUUAAGUUUAAGUAGGUAUGUUCCAUUUAUAAUGUAGUGUGAUAUAUUCUUGUAACAUUUAUGAAAGAGGCCAAAACUUAAAUGACAACUUCAA
Brassica napus (rape) is the source of this 5333-nucleotide long non-coding RNA. RefSeq lists it as uncharacterized. The transcript is spliced from 4 exons. The record is from RefSeq and is a predicted model, not a curated record. NCBI's taxonomy places the organism in Eukaryota, Viridiplantae, Streptophyta, Magnoliopsida, Brassicales, Brassicaceae.